CAGCAGGUUCCAGGAGUGGGUGACAGCCUUAACUUCCCUAAAAGGGAAAAGAAACCACAUUCAUAUUUACAGUAUUGCUCAGGGGGAAAAAUGUCUAAUUGACUGUUGAGUGGAAUUUGAUCCCAAAUUGAUGAGCCUUUGAGGUCUGUGUGUGUACAACCCCAAAUACACAGGUUUGUGUGUGUUCACAGGUGUGCUGGGAUAGAUCUACAGAGAUUCUGGAGUGAUGGGAAUGUAUAGAUACCUACAUGUGUGUAUUUGUGUGCACACACCUCCAGGAUAAAUCCUGUUUAUCAUCUAAAUCUGUAACAGAAAAGCUUGUGCAGUUCCCAGUCAGCCUGGGAACCUCCUUUGAUCUGAGAGGGUUGUUGGGAGUUAUUCUGGAAGCUCUGUGAGCUUUGCAUAUCAAGUGCUGAGAACUCAGGCUUGUUUUUCUAUCAUUAAAAUGUUUGAGCCCUCGAGUUCUGUGAGGCUGGUGGUUUUGGUUUGGGUUCCCCAAAUUAAAUCCCCCUUGGAAUAGCUAAUUUAGCCACUGAGGUGGAUCCUGGUUUGGAGCAGUAGGACCAGAAGUGGUAGGAGCAAACAAUAAUGUUCCAAUUCAGUCACCAGUUUCCUUUAGGAUUUAUUUUACAGCAUCUGCAGGAGCUCAGCUCACUCCACACAAGGACCAGACCUCAUUCCAUGCUGGCACCUGCCUGGGGAAGACAAGGAAUAUCCUCAUCCCCAGCGACUCUGCGGUUCAAGGGACUGGCUGGAGCCUCCCAGUGAGUGGCUUCUGCCUCAUUUCCUACCUGCUGUUCCUUUUGUGGUCACUCUGAAGCAAUUAUUUCAGAUAAUGUGGGAAACAGCCCAUUUGUGAGAGUCCAUCAAGAAAUCAUUAUCCCCCCAGAAGCAAUGGACAGCGUGUCAAACAUGAUUGGGAGGUGUCCUCUAAAUUGCUUUACAUUGGAUACUUGGAGCUGUGCCUUGUAUCAGGUUGGGGCUGGAGUCACUCAGCACUGCUGACACCAUCCACAGCCCUGGGGGAAGGGUCUUUAACUGCCCCCAGCGACCACCACCAGGAUAGAAGGACAUGUCCAAGGAGAAAGGCCAGAAGAAGGGAGGUGCAGAUGGACAGACAUCCUCAAACAGAGCACAAACAGGGAUCUGCUGCUGCUGGUCAGGGAGAGCACCAGGGAAAGCACAGCACAUCCAACCCCUGCAGAGAUUUUGCUCCGUCCAGGAAACCCCUCCAGCAACAGCGUUGUGGGAGUUGCCUCCACACAGGUGUUCAGGCAGAGCCAGCCCCUGGCAAACAGCACCAACAACUCAGACUGAAGUCAGGACCAAAAGGGAGCAAGGAACCAAUUGCAGUCCCUCAUUAGAAAUCACUUCUGCUUAAUUCCUGCAACUGCUUUGGGAGCAACUCCAAUUCCGGAGGCUGGAUCUCCACCUAAGCCCUGUCAUCAGAUGCUCCAGUCACGGGAUGCACUUCCAGCUGGAGUGAUGAACCCUAAUCUCUGUGAUUUGGGAGGACAUUUGGGGACAUGUUCAUCUCUAUGCUGCUUAAUUGCUUUCCUGAAUAGAGGAUUUGAGGAGCUGCAGCUCUUUUAUCCACAGGAGCAGUGUUUUGCUUUAGCCUUCCCUCGGUCCGUGGCACAGGAGUUUGUUGCUGCAGUAGCCACUGGAUAUUGGCAGAAACCAGCAUUUUCUGUACAGUGAGAUGUUCCCAUCCCACAGAACUCAUUUCCCAGCCCAGGGGCUGCAAUGAGGCUCAGCCUUCAAAGUGUCAAACACACUGAAAACGGAAAAAAGCCACGACAGAACCAGCUACAGGGACCUGAGAGGGUCUUCUGGUGGAACCUGAGCCAGCUCUGCAGCCCCACAGCAGGACAGCAAUGCCAGGGGAUAGGAAUGACAGAGCCCACGGCGCGGACACGGCGGAUGGGGACACGUGUGCGGGUCGGUGACAGUCACACCGGGAGCAGCCCCAGCCUGCCAGGCUUGGCACCUGAACAAGCAACACUUCUGGCAGCAGCACAAGGAAUUCAGGCCCUUGCAAGAGGAUUUUCAGGAUGCACAGCACAACCUCUGUAAGUUGUCCAGCAUAAAAUACUGUUCUGCUUUGGGGUUUCAGCAUUUGCAGGAAGGAAGGGAGUUUGAGCCUCUUUAAGACUGAGGAAGGGAAUUACUAUUCAGGUGGAAAAAGAAAUUGCUCAGAAAAUCUGGACACUUUUAUAUCUUUCUUUCUCUCAACUGUAUCUGCAUUUAAGGGCCUUUAGCCUGUAAUAAAAGCAAUUAAUUUCCUGACCAGCUCAGCAAAAUGGAUAAAGAAACACCCUCCAAGGGAGUGAGGAUGUGAAUCCACAUAUUUAACAAAACAGGGGGGAAAUGCU
Molecule: long non-coding RNA, 2375 nt
Organism: Pseudopipra pipra
Lineage: Eukaryota; Metazoa; Chordata; Aves; Passeriformes; Pipridae
Exons: 10
Source: RefSeq, a predicted model, not a curated record